Molecule: ribosomal RNA, 429 nt
Filed under: uncultured bacterium
Lineage: Bacteria
Description: bacterial SSU rRNA
Rfam family: Bacterial small subunit ribosomal RNA
Source: RNAcentral
UGGGGAAUUUUGGACAAUGGGGGAAACCCUGAUCCAGCCAUGCCGCGUGCGGGAAGAAGGCCUUCGGGUUGUAAACCGCUUUUGGCAGGAACGAAACGGCGCGCGCUAAUACCGCGCGCUAAUGACGGUACCUGCAGAAUAAGCACCGGCUAACUACGUGCCAGCAGCCGCGGUAAUACGUAGGGUGCAAGCGUUAAUCGGAAUUACUGGGCGUAAAGCGUACGCAGGCGGCUGUGCAAGACAGAUGUGAAAUCUCCGGGCUCAACCUGGGAACUGCAUUUGUGACUGCAUAGCUAGAGUCCGUAAGAGGGGGGCGGAAUUCCACGUGUAGCAGUGAAAUGCGUAGAGAUGUGGAGGAACACCGAUGGCGAAGGCAGCCCCCUGGGAUGAGACUGACGCUCAUGUACGAAAGCGUGGGGAGCAAACAGG